RNAcentral lists this ribosomal RNA (202 nucleotides) under Acinetobacter baumannii. RNAcentral describes it as "partial 16S ribosomal RNA". It matches the Rfam family "Bacterial small subunit ribosomal RNA", at positions 1 to 210 of the family's 1533-position model. Lineage: Bacteria; Pseudomonadati; Pseudomonadota; Gammaproteobacteria; Moraxellales; Moraxellaceae. The record is from RNAcentral.
UUUAACUGAAGAGUUUGAUCAUGGCUCAGAUUGAACGCUGGCGGCAGGCUUAACACAUGCAAGUCGAGCGGGGGAAGGUAGCUUGCUACUGGACCUAGCGGCGGACGGGUGAGUAAUGCUUAGGAAUCUGCCUAUUAGUGGGGGACAACAUCUCGAAAGGGAUGCUAAUACCGCAUACGUCCUACGGGAGAAAGCAGGGGAU